AUGGCGCGGCUGCCGCUGUCACCAUCUCCACCGGCUUUCACCCCGGUCAAGGAAGAGCCCGACGUCGACACCACCUCUGCCGCUCGCACUACGCGCCCACCGCCCCGCAAGAAGCGCCGCCGGGACCACCUUCCGGUAACCCCAACCCAGCCGCUGCUCACGCCCCAAACUAUUCUGUCCGGGAUUUCGAAAGCCGAUUCCUUCGAUGUCAAGCGAUGCGGGGAGCUGGACCUAACGCCGACGACCGUGCCCACCUCCAUAAAGCACGAGCCUGACGCCGACGACGGGGCUGGCAAGGAUGCAGGAUGGGAAACAUUGGGCGCACCACCGCACAAGAAGCGCGGCCGUCACUGCCUCUCGGCAACCCCAAUCCAGCCCCUUUUCACGCCCCAAGCUACCCUGCCGGGCAUUUCAAGGGCUGAUUCCUCUGUGGAUAAGUGGAGCGAGCAGCCCAGCGCCACGCCGACUGCCACUGUCAAGCGCGAGCUCGGCGCAGACGCUGGCAAGGAUGCAGGAGGGAAGGUGGUCCGGAGACGACGCCCCCACCCUCAGCGGCCCAUUACAGAGCAAGCCCCCACCAUGUGGGCCAAUCGUGGACGCCUCGGCCGUCUCCUCCGCAAUCUAGUUCGCACGCACCAAUGGCGAGAUGCUGCCGGGGUCUUCUCUGUGCUCCUACCUGGCAUCCAGCGCCCUGACUCCUUCGAGGAGGCCCGCAGCAUUUUAGUGGAUGCGAUGGAUAUUCAUAGACGCCUUGCUCAGGACAGUGGCAACCAUGGCAGGAGAACCUACUACCACAGGACACAAAAGGUUUUUGAUGUUUGGAUACAACGGCUAAUGUGGUUGCCUACUUGUGCAAAAAAACACAUGGUUAAACUCGAACUGGCUCUAUUUUAUCUUUCACAAGGCAAGAUCGACGAUGCACACAAUGCAACAAGAGUCCUCAUUGCGAAGGACGGACUAAAGAUGGAACCAACUCUAAAUCUCAUACAUGGCUUGAUAUCAUAUGAUAAAUGGUACUCUGGUUUGCCCAAAGAUAUGCAACUUGAGAGAUUUGAUGUGUACAAUGAAUCAUGCAAAAUUUCUGUGUCAUUGAAUGCCUGUGGAGAAAAUUGUCUCCAGGAUAGUUCAGAUGACAAUUGCAGCAUUGAUGUUGAUAAUGCCAGUUUUCCUGCUUGCUCUUCAGAAAGUUCUAUCAAUAAUGGGAAUAUAGACAAAAAAUGCAAGAUUCCCGAGAAGAAAUCUUGUUUUGUUUAUCCUGUCAAGGAAAAUGAUUCAGUAGAUUCACAAGUGAAAGAAGUGGUUUCUGCAGAUUUUCGAAGCGUAUUUUUUAAUACCUCUGAUGCCCCUACCUGUGGAUUGGAACGAACCUUGUUGCCGCUACGUCUAAAGCAUGCUACUGGGUCUUCAAGUGAUUGCUUUGAUUCGUACUGGAAGUACAAGUCAACACCUAAUACCUUCUACGCAGAUGCAGAAAGAUGUCUAAGAGUGGCUCUUCAUUCGUCGCCACCAGUAAUGGCAGCCUUAUUACCAUUAAUACAGAUUCUCCUGCUUGGUGAUAAACUGAAAGAUGCACUUUGUGAACUUGAGAGGACCUGCCGCAGUUCUACUACAGCGCUUCCUUUCAGAUUGCGAGGCAGACUGCUAGAGUAUUUUGACCAAAACCAAGUAUCAGCUAUAUCUUCUUGCUAUGAGGAAGCUUUGCAGAGAGAUCCUACAUGUAGCUACUCGGUUGAGAGGCUAACUGAAAUGCACAGAAAAGGAGAGGCAUCGAUCAAUGCUUUUAGUAGUCUUUCUUCAGUCUUCUUUGAGCAACAUACAAGGGAAUCAUGGAAGCUCCGAUGCAAAUGGUGGAUGAACCGUCAUUUCAGCCAAAACAUCUAUAUGUCAGAGACCGCAAAAGGUGAUUGCAAGCUCCUCGCUUCCAAGGCAUCUUGUGCCUCUCACAUGCUUGGGCCCGGAUUCCCAUAUGUCAAAGCAGCUAAGAGCUAUCUUUCCAAGCAAGAGGCUAAGGAUGAAUCCGGAUUCUUGUCCAGGAACAUGGAAAAUUCUGUCAAGUUAUUACAAAGUUUGGAGAAACUAACGUGA
Molecule: ribosomal RNA, 2085 nt
Filed under: Triticum aestivum (bread wheat)
Lineage: Eukaryota; Viridiplantae; Streptophyta; Magnoliopsida; Poales; Poaceae
Description: partial small subunit ribosomal RNA
Source: RNAcentral